This 253-nucleotide ribosomal RNA is filed under the name uncultured bacterium. RNAcentral describes it as "partial 16S ribosomal RNA". It matches the Rfam family "Bacterial small subunit ribosomal RNA", at positions 524 to 776 of the family's 1533-position model. The record is from RNAcentral.
GACGAACCGUCCAAACGUUGUUCGGAAUCACUGGGCUUAAAGGGCGCGUAGGCGGGCCAGAGGGUCCGGGGUGAAAUCUUUCGGCUUAACCGGAAAAGUGCCUUGGAAACCGCUGGUCUAGAGGGAGGUAGGGGCAUGUGGAACUUCUGGUGGAGCGGUGAAAUGCGUUGAUAUCAGAAGGAACGCCGGUGGCGAAAGCGAGGUCCUGGACGUCUUCUGACGCUGAGACGCGAAAGCUAGGGGAGCAAACGGG